Molecule: ribosomal RNA, 305 nt
Filed under: uncultured bacterium
Lineage: Bacteria
Description: bacterial SSU rRNA
Rfam family: Bacterial small subunit ribosomal RNA
Source: RNAcentral
UGGUCCUACGGGGCGCAGCAGUGAGGAAUAUUGGUCAAUGGGCGGGAGCCUGAACCAGCCAAGUCGCGUGAGGGAAGACGGUCCUAUGGAUUGUAAACCUCUUUAGGCGGGGAGCAAUGCCGGGCACGCGUGUCCGGAGGGAGAGUACCCGCAGAAUAAGCAUCGGCUAACUCCGUGCCAGCAGCCGCGGUAAUACGGAGGAUGCGAGCGUUAUCCGGAUUUAUUGGGUUUAAAGGGUGCGCAGGCGGAAGAUCAAGUCAGCGGUAAAAUUGAGAGGCUCAACCUCUUCGAGCCGUUGAAACUGG